CUACUACUGCUACUUCUUCUAAGGUAUCGGUCAAUUGUGAUCAAAUGUGGGUGUGAGUACCGAUAUCUGUGGUAAUAGUAGUUAGUUAAGUAGUAAAGGAGGAGGAGUAGUAGUACGUCAAAUCAUACAUUAUUGCCUACCUUCGGUGGGGUGCCUAGUCUGCCUAACACCUUGGUGGUAUGCCCGUGUAUUUCUUGCUGUUGCUGCUGUUGCAUGAAAUGCACCGGUCCAUACCCGGGCGGUAGAGUAGUGCACUAGUAGUUGCCACUGCCACUCCUGUUGCCUUCUUUUAUUGUGCGGUACAUGGGGUAACGUGUGUGUAUGCGUAAGUGACUAUUAGUGUGCAAGGCAUAAGAUGUUUGGAUGGUACUAUUGGUUGUGCUCCAUUAAUACCAUCCUACGCCCCACUAUGCGUCGAGUUCUAUUACAUUAUCUACCUUUAGUAGAUAUAUGUAUGUGCAUUUAUUUUCACUUGUGUUUGUGUGUAUUUGUAUAUGUGAAAGUGUAGACAAUGCACAUUAAUAACAUCUACAAAUAGACUGGCUGGGAUGGUUAACUAAAUAAGUACUGUCCGGUCAGCAUUUUGGCGAUGGUAAUAUUACCUAGCCACGAAAGAAAGACAUACGCUAUAUACGCUGUGUGUGUGCGUAUGU
Molecule: unclassified non-coding RNA, 653 nt
Filed under: Bertiella studeri
Lineage: Eukaryota; Metazoa; Platyhelminthes; Cestoda; Cyclophyllidea; Anoplocephalidae
Description: partial ITS1
Source: RNAcentral